UACGUAGGGGGCUAGCGUUGUCCGGAAUCAUUGGGCGUAAAGAGCGUGUAGGCGGCCCGGUAAGUCCGCUGUGAAAGUCGGGGGCUCAACCCUCGAAUGCCGGUGGAUACUGUCGGGCUAGAGUGCGGAAGAGGCGAGUGGAAUUCCUGGUGUAGCGGUGAAAUGCGCAGAUAUCAGGAGGAACACCGAUUGCGAAGGCAGCUCGCUGGGACGUAACUGACGCUGAGACGCGAAAGCGUGGGGAGCAAACA
RNAcentral lists this ribosomal RNA (251 nucleotides) under uncultured Solirubrobacteraceae bacterium. RNAcentral describes it as "partial 16S ribosomal RNA". It matches the Rfam family "Bacterial small subunit ribosomal RNA", at positions 524 to 774 of the family's 1533-position model. Lineage: Bacteria; Bacillati; Actinomycetota; Thermoleophilia; Solirubrobacterales; Solirubrobacteraceae. The record is from RNAcentral.